UUUCCGUAGGUGAACCUGCGGAAGGAUCAUUAAAGUUAUAGUCCCCCGGCCCUCUGUGCUGGGGUCUUCUAUACCACCCUUUGUUUAUUACGACUUUGUUGCUUUGGCAGGCCUGCCCUCGGGCUGCUUGCUCCGGCCGGCUGGCGUCCGCAAGAGGACUUAAACUCUGUUUGUAUAUGACGUCGGGGUACUAUAUAAUAGUUAAAACUUUCAACAACGGAUCUCUUGGUUCUG
Molecule: unclassified non-coding RNA, 234 nt
Filed under: plant metagenome
Description: partial contains small subunit ribosomal RNA, internal transcribed spacer 1, and 5.8S ribosomal RNA
Source: RNAcentral